UCGACAUGUAAGUACAUUAAUAAAAACUUCAAAUACCAUCUCUGUGAUUUUGCAUUUUCUCACUUUAGUAUCCUGUGGUUUAAAGUGUAUCGAUUUAGUACUCCGUGGUUUUAUUUUUUCUUUUUUAUUAUCUCCUUCACUAAUUUUUUUUUUAUUAAAUCAGUGACAAAGUUAAAACUAAAAGAGACUAAAGUAAAUAUUCGAUAAAUUUAGAUUGGGUAUGAAAAGUUUUUUUUGUAUAUAAUUUAACGAAAUAUUAACAGAGGAGUUGAUGAAAAGAAAAAAAUGAAAUCACAGGAUACUAAAUUGAUACACUUUAAAUCAUAUGGUACUAAAAUGAGAAAGUGCGAAACCACAGGUAUGGUAUUUGAAGUUUAUCCUAAAUUUUUAGUAGUAAAAAAAAAGAUAAGACAAGUGACAAAAU
Molecule: long non-coding RNA, 424 nt
Filed under: Ananas comosus (pineapple)
Lineage: Eukaryota; Viridiplantae; Streptophyta; Magnoliopsida; Poales; Bromeliaceae
Description: long non-coding RNA (ACOM_LNC020192)
Source: RNAcentral